RNAcentral lists this ribosomal RNA (446 nucleotides) under uncultured bacterium. RNAcentral describes it as "bacterial SSU rRNA". It matches the Rfam family "Bacterial small subunit ribosomal RNA", at positions 330 to 792 of the family's 1533-position model. The record is from RNAcentral.
CCCAGACUCCUACGGGAGGCAGCAGUGGGGAAUAUUGCACAAUGGGGGAAACCCUGAUGCAGCGACGCCGCGUGAGUGAAGAAGUAUUUCGGUAUGUAAAGCUCUAUCAGCAGGAACGAGACAAGACGGUACCUGACUAAGAAGCCCCGGCUAACUACGUGCCAGCAGCCGCGGUAAUACGUAGGGGGCAAGCGUUAUCCGGAAUCACUGGGUGUAAAGGGAGCGUAGACGGCUGAGCAAGCCUGAAGUGAAAGGCAGGGGCCCAACCCCUGGACUGCUUUGGGAACUGUACGGCUGGAGUGCAGGAGAGGUAAGUGGAAUUCCUAGUGUAGCGGUGAAAUGCGUAGAUAUUGGGAGGAACACCAGUGGCGAAGGCGGCCUGCUGGACAUUAACUGACGCUGAGGCGCGAAGGCGUGGGGAGCAAACAGGAUUAGAUACCCGAGUA